UGGGGAAUAUUGCGCAAUGGGGGAAACCCUGACGCAGCAACGCCGCGUGAGUGAGGAAGGACUUCGGUCUGUAACGCUCUGUUAAUGAGGAAAAAUGGUAGUUGGUCUAAUAGGCCGAUUAUUUGAUGGUACUCAUAGAGGAAGCACCGGCUAACUUGGUGCCAGCAGCCGCGGUAAUACGAAGGGUGCAAGCGUUGUUCGGAUUUAUUGGGCGUAAAGCGCGCGUAGGCGGACCUGCAAGUAAGAUGUGAAAUCUCGAGGCUCAACCUCGAAACUGCGUCUUAAACUACAGGUCUAGAAUCUCGGAGGGGGAAGGGGAAUAUCGCAUGUAGGGGUAAAAUCCGUAGAUAUGCGAUGGAACACCAGAGGCGAAGGCGCCUUCCUGGACGAGUAUUGACGCUGAGGCGCGAAAGCGUGGGGAUCAAAC
RNAcentral lists this ribosomal RNA (427 nucleotides) under uncultured bacterium. RNAcentral describes it as "bacterial SSU rRNA". It matches the Rfam family "Bacterial small subunit ribosomal RNA", at positions 355 to 773 of the family's 1533-position model. The record is from RNAcentral.